This 497-nucleotide ribosomal RNA is filed under the name Dactylogyrus nobilis. RNAcentral describes it as "partial large subunit ribosomal RNA". It matches the Rfam family "Eukaryotic large subunit ribosomal RNA", at positions 286 to 634 of the family's 3401-position model. Lineage: Eukaryota; Metazoa; Platyhelminthes; Monogenea; Dactylogyridea; Dactylogyridae. The record is from RNAcentral.
UCCAAAGUGGGUGGUAAACUCCAUCCAAGGCUAAAUACUGGCACGAGUCCGAUAGUAGACAAGUACCGUGAGGGAAAGUUGAAAAGUACUCUGAAGAGAGAGUAAAUAGCACGUGAAGCCGCUUGCAGGGAAGCUGGUGGAGUCAAGCUUCAUGUUCAGAGGAUUGCCAUCAGGACUACCAUUGUUGUUUGGGACGUGAUACUGAUUAGCCUGGAAAGGGUUUGGCGUGCUUCGGUGCGUUUCAAGUCAUUCUGGGUAGAGUGUUUGAGUCAGUGUCUAUCUCCCUGGUCCUGGUGUUUUAUCCUCUGUGACAUACAUCACAGUCAAUAAUGGUUCGUGCUGUGUGAACGCUUAACUGUGCUUUGGCGGGCAUUCGUGUCUGCCGGGUGCGGAAUGGCAGGUGGCUUGUGCGGGCCUUGUGUUCGUAUCUUGCUUAUGUUGAUUUUGAUCUGCUAGUGUUCAUGUUUCACAUUUAACAGUAUCGGCCUUAUUGCUCG